GCGGGCGUAGUUCAGUGGUAGAACAUCAGCUUCCCAAGCUGAAUAUGAGGGUUCGAUUCCCUUCGCCCGCUCCA
Molecule: transfer RNA, 74 nt
Filed under: Clostridium sp. CAG:1013
Lineage: Bacteria; Bacillati; Bacillota; Clostridia; Eubacteriales; Clostridiaceae
Also listed under: 8 other names
Description: transfer RNA-Gly(CCC)
Rfam family: tRNA
About the family: Transfer RNA (tRNA) molecules are approximately 80 nucleotides in length. Their secondary structure includes four short double-helical elements and three loops (D, anti-codon, and T loops). Further hydrogen bonds mediate the characteristic L-shaped molecular structure. tRNAs have two regions of fundamental functional importance: the anti-codon, which is responsible for specific mRNA codon recognition, and the 3' end, to which the tRNAs corresponding amino acid is attached (by aminoacyl-tRNA synthetases). tRNAs cope with the degeneracy of the genetic code in two manners: having more than one tRNA (with a specific anti-codon) for a particular amino acid; and 'wobble' base-pairing, i.e. permitting non-standard base-pairing at the 3rd anti-codon position.
Source: RNAcentral